Transfer RNA from Loxodonta africana (African savanna elephant), 72 nucleotides. It matches the Rfam family "tRNA". From Rfam's summary of the family: Transfer RNA (tRNA) molecules are approximately 80 nucleotides in length. Their secondary structure includes four short double-helical elements and three loops (D, anti-codon, and T loops). The record is from Rfam. Lineage: Eukaryota; Metazoa; Chordata; Mammalia; Proboscidea; Elephantidae.
GCAUCGGUGGUUCAGUGGGAGGGUUCUUGCCUUUCAUGCAGGAGACCUGGGGUUAGAUUCCUGGCUGCUGUA